Long non-coding RNA from Chanos chanos (milkfish), 155 nucleotides. RefSeq lists it as uncharacterized. NCBI's taxonomy places the organism in Eukaryota, Metazoa, Chordata, Actinopteri, Gonorynchiformes, Chanidae. The record is from RefSeq and is a predicted model, not a curated record. The transcript is spliced from 3 exons.
UGGAGUGGGCGGCUUUAUGUAUCAUGACGUGGAUGUCACAGUUGUGGGCGAUGAUGAAAUUACCACUUCUGUUUUGAAGACGACUACUCAGCCCGCUGUGACAGAUCAUACAGGUGAGAGGUUUGUGAUGUCCCCCCAGUCACUGCGUGCACAUG